AAAUCCCUGCUGUGCGCGUGUCAUUGCCGAAAGUUUUUGCCAACACCAAAAACUUGGGAAUUCGACUCCGUAUGUGGACUGUAUGCCUGUUUUCAGGACACACAAAACAUAUGGGAGGAUACCCACCUGUCGGGGACAGGUUUAAACUACGGCUACCACGGCUCGGUGGGGUUUUU
Molecule: non-coding RNA, 176 nt
Filed under: Bacillota bacterium
Lineage: Bacteria; Bacillati; Bacillota
Also listed under: 1 other name
Description: 6S RNA
Rfam family: 6S / SsrS RNA
About the family: E. coli 6S RNA was the first non coding RNA to be sequenced, but its function was unknown until recently.
Source: RNAcentral